Molecule: ribosomal RNA, 274 nt
Filed under: uncultured bacterium
Lineage: Bacteria
Description: partial 16S ribosomal RNA
Rfam family: Bacterial small subunit ribosomal RNA
Source: RNAcentral
CUACGGAGGGUGCAAGCGUUAUUCGGAAUCACUGGGCGUAAAGGACGCGUAGGCGGGUUGGCAAGUCAGAUGUGAAAUCCUACAGCUUAACUGUAGAACUGCAUUUGAAACUGCUAACCUAGAGUAUGGGAGGGGGAGAUGGAAUUAGUGGUGUAGGGGUAAAAUCCGUAGAUAUCACUAGGAAUACCGAAAGCGAAGGCGAUCUCCUGGAACAUAACUGACGCUAAGGCGUGAAAGCGUGGGGAGCGAACGGGAUUAGAAACCCUUGUAGUCC